Micropterus dolomieu (smallmouth bass) is the source of this 345-nucleotide long non-coding RNA. RefSeq lists it as uncharacterized. The transcript is spliced from 3 exons. The record is from RefSeq and is a predicted model, not a curated record. NCBI's taxonomy places the organism in Eukaryota, Metazoa, Chordata, Actinopteri, Centrarchiformes, Centrarchidae.
UACUUUAAUAAAUCUCUGUGUGUGUUUCAGGAAUGUUGACGAUCACAGACUUCAUCAACAUCCUGACCAGAUACUAUAAAUCCCCCAUGGUUCAGAUCUACGAGCUGGAGGAACAUAAAAUCGAGACGUGGCGAGAGCUGUACCUGCAGGAGACCUUCAAACCUCUGGUGCACAUCUCACCUGACGCCAGGUGAGUUAUUACCUGCUGAAAAUACACUGAGGAAAGUGGACAAGGAAAGGAAACAAGAAAGGAGAGAAGGGGAGAUGAGGAGACUAGGAGAGGAGAGGAAUCAAGAUGAGGAGAAGAGACAAGGAAAGGAAACAAGAAAGGAGAGAAGGGGAGAU